RNAcentral lists this non-coding RNA (106 nucleotides) under Staphylococcus nepalensis. RNAcentral's name for it is "SAM riboswitch (S box leader)". It matches the Rfam family "SAM riboswitch aptamer (S box leader)". From Rfam's summary of the family: The SAM riboswitch is found upstream of a number of genes which code for proteins involved in methionine or cysteine biosynthesis in Gram-positive bacteria. The SAM riboswitch acts at the level of transcription termination control. The predicted structure consists of a complex stem-loop region followed by a single stem loop terminator region. The record is from RNAcentral. Lineage: Bacteria; Bacillati; Bacillota; Bacilli; Caryophanales; Staphylococcaceae.
CUUAUCCAGAGAGGUGGAGGGGGUUGACCCGUAGAAACUUCAGCAACAGACUUAUCAUUAUGAGUACUGUGCUACUUUCAACAAGUGAAAUGCUUGAAAGAUAAGU